This 484-nucleotide ribosomal RNA is filed under the name uncultured bacterium. RNAcentral describes it as "partial 16S ribosomal RNA". It matches the Rfam family "Bacterial small subunit ribosomal RNA", at positions 29 to 507 of the family's 1533-position model. The record is from RNAcentral.
AUUGAACGCUGGCGGCAUGCCUUACACAUGCAAGUCGAACGGCAGCACGGGAGCAAUCCUGGUGGCGAGUGGCGAACGGGUGAGUAAUACAUCGGAACGUGCCCAGUAGUGGGGGAUAACCCGGCGAAAGCCGGACUAAUACCGCAUACGACCUACGGGUGAAAGCGGGGGAUCGCAAGACCUCGCGCUAUCGGAGCGGCCGAUGUCAGAUUAGCUAGUUGGUGGGGUAAAGGCCUACCAAGGCGACGAUCUGUAGCUGGUCUGAGAGGACGACCAGCCACACUGGGACUGAGACACGGCCCAGACUCCUACGGGAGGCAGCAGUGGGGAAUUUUGGACAAUGGGCGCAAGCCUGAUCCAGCCAUGCCGCGUGCGGGAAGAAGGCCUUCGGGUUGUAAACCGCUUUUGUCAGGGAAGAAACGCUCCGGGCUAAUACCACGGAGCAAUGACGGUACCUGAAGAAUAAGCACCGGCUAACUACGUG